This 540-nucleotide ribosomal RNA is filed under the name Pseudomonas aeruginosa. Its description in RNAcentral is "bacterial SSU rRNA". It matches the Rfam family "Bacterial small subunit ribosomal RNA", at positions 62 to 597 of the family's 1533-position model. The record is from RNAcentral. Lineage: Bacteria; Pseudomonadati; Pseudomonadota; Gammaproteobacteria; Pseudomonadales; Pseudomonadaceae.
UCGAGCGGAUGAAGGGAGCUUGCUCCUGGAUUCAGCGGCGGACGGGUGAGUAAUGCCUAGGAAUCUGCCUGGUAGUGGGGGAUAACGUCCGGAAACGGGCGCUAAUACCGCAUACGUCCUGAGGGAGAAAGUGGGGGAUCUUCGGACCUCACGCUAUCAGAUGAGCCUAGGUCGGAUUAGCUAGUUGGUGGGGUAAAGGCCUACCAAGGCGACGAUCCGUAACUGGUCUGAGAGGAUGAUCAGUCACACUGGAACUGAGACACGGUCCAGACUCCUACGGGAGGCAGCAGUGGGGAAUAUUGGACAAUGGGCGAAAGCCUGAUCCAGCCAUGCCGCGUGUGUGAAGAAGGUCUUCGGAUUGUAAAGCACUUUAAGUUGGGAGGAAGGGCAGUAAGUUAAUACCUUGCUGUUUUGACGUUACCAACAGAAUAAGCACCGGCUAACUUCGUGCCAGCAGCCGCGGUAAUACGAAGGGUGCAAGCGUUAAUCGGAAUUACUGGGCGUAAAGCGCGCGUAGGUGGUUCAGCAAGUUGGAUGUGA